This 516-nucleotide long non-coding RNA is filed under the name Brachypodium distachyon (stiff brome). Its description in RNAcentral is "long non-coding RNA (BDIS_LNC003911)". Lineage: Eukaryota; Viridiplantae; Streptophyta; Magnoliopsida; Poales; Poaceae. The record is from RNAcentral.
AGGCUUUGUCGUGUGCAUUUGGUUCAGAUAUCUGACGAAAUCAGCGCAUUUAAUCCAUAAUUUAGUAAGAAAAGCUUGUAAAUCUCUCUUGCACAACUUUUACAGGCUGUUGUUUUUCUUUUGCAGUUAGGGUGCGAAAAGGCAACUAAUUCUUCAAUUUGGACCUUACCUACUAGGAAGAAACUUUAUCACGUGAGAGUUGCACAAAAAGGAGAAGAAAAAGCAAGUUAAGGGAUCAAAGUGCAGAGAGAAAGUGACAGUUUCAGGAUCUUCUUGGAGAGAAAGGAGAAAAGCCGCAGGGGGAAAAUGAAAAAAAUGGCAAUGCCAUGCUGCAGCCAGGCCACCAUCUCAGGACUUAGGGGGCACUUCUGUACAGAGGGAGGUUAUCUUCUCUAUCGAGAGGGGCUGGAAAAGAAAAAAAGAGAGGAAAGAAAAGAAGAGAAGGGAGGAAAGGAAAACGAUGGAGAUGGAGAUGGAUUUGCACCCUCGCUUAACCUAGCUGAGACACCGUCACCA